RNAcentral lists this ribosomal RNA (352 nucleotides) under uncultured Actinomyces sp. RNAcentral describes it as "partial 16S ribosomal RNA". It matches the Rfam family "Bacterial small subunit ribosomal RNA", at positions 28 to 368 of the family's 1533-position model. Lineage: Bacteria; Bacillati; Actinomycetota; Actinomycetes; Actinomycetales; Actinomycetaceae. The record is from RNAcentral.
GACGAACGCUGGCGGCGCGCUUAACACAUGCAAGUCGAACGAUGAAGCGCUGUCUUUUUGGUGGUGUGGAUUAGUGGCGAACAGGUGAGUAAUACGCGGGCAACCUGCCCCUCUGUUUCGGGAUAAGCUUUGGACACGGGGUCUAAUACCGGAUAUGCCUGUCUGGUCGCAUGGCUGGGGGGGGAAAAAUGUUUUUCGGCGGGGGAUAGGGUCUCGGCCCAUAAGAUUGUUGGUGGGGUGACACCCUAUCCAGGCGCCUACAGGUAGCCUGCCUGUGAGGGUUUUCUGCCACACUUUUGCUUCUGAUACACGCCCCACUUCUUUAGGGGGGGGGGGGUUGGGGAUUUGUACU